AUAGCAUCAGUCAGGGACUUUCUGCUGCAGGUAGCGUGACCACUGCUACAUUCAGAAGUGCUGUCACUCACAUACGGUGCAUGUUAGGUUCCAGUGCAGGAACAAAAUACCGCUACUCUUGCCUUUUAAGCCUUAAAGCAGGGCAAGAGAAAAAGGGAAAUGACAGCAAUCCAAGUAUGCUGUGUGCAAUAUACUGCUUUUCUAAUUGAUUCUGCAGAUUUCUUCCUCUUCCUCCUGCUGUCAUAAUCUCUGUGUUUAAGAGAUCCAGAUAUUUCCAUUUGUUCCUUUCACCCAGAAACUAGGCCCAUACCUGAAUAAAAAAAGAAAUUCAGAUUGAAACAAGCAGAGAAAAACUACCAAAGAGUCAGAGCUGUUAAUCAAUGCCAUAGCCUUUCAAAGGAAGAGAUAAUAAUUCAUGCUGGGAAUAUUCAAAACUAAACUGGAGGAAUCCUGAGGAUGAGAUACCAAGGCAGAAACCCUCAGAAGCCCCCAGGGAAUAGAUAAAAAUACCUAAUUGUUUUUUUUUAUCUCAGACAUCUAAAUUAUCCAACCGCAUUGUGCAAGCAUAUUCAGCAGAUUGCUAACUGAUCAGCCACGAAAUCCUGCUGCACUUUGCAUUGUGCUCCAAAACUGAACAACCCACUGAAAUUAAUGAGACAAUUCUCAUCUCUCAUGAGGUCAAACCAAUUACAUAGGCAUAGCCAGCGGGUACUAUCUGUAGCGGAAAAAAACAAAACAAAACAAAACAGUGCCUAUCAAGUUAGAGUUACACAACCAAGUGCUCGUCUAGGCUCCUGGCAAGGCCCCGAUAUCAUUAGCUAUUAUUAACUGCCUUGUGCAAAGGCAUCAACUCUCUCAGGAGCCAAGAGAGCACCGAAGUGGUUACAAAAGCACUUCACUUGUACAGUAGACAAAUCUUGAGGUGGCCUUGAAGAGUCGUUCCUUUUGCAGGCUCGAGGCCCAAGAACACAACACAGUGAGAGCUCACAUUGCGAAGAUUUUAUUUGCAACUAAAAGGUCAAACUGAAGAAAGUAAUGGGCUCAGAGCAGUGCCAGGACAGCUUUCCAGUUGGGUCCAGCUCACUUACAACCUUGCCAAGGGAAGAAGAAGUUAAUGCCCUGAGAUAAGACCCUCGUCACAAUAUUGUUUAAUUACAUAAGGCUUCUAGUGAGCCUGAGAUAAGAACAGGAAUUUGUCUGCAGUCCAGCUGGGUGCGGCUGCUGGCUGCUUAGAUCAUGUUGUGUAUUAGAAUGGGAACUAAAAGCACGGGUUUAUUCGAGGUGGUUGUCACAUCAUUAGAACUGGAAUGAGUAAACUGAUAGUGACAACUGAUUUAAAAGUUAACUGUUUCACAUGAGAAAUAAACUAACAUUUUCCUGACAACAGUAGCUCUAAAACUAUCUAUUGUUUAUCUUCAAAUUACAUUAGGAACAUUAAUUGAGCCAAACUGCUACUCUGAAAUCAGUAAGUAAAUUUUUUCAGUAUCAAUGAAGAAACUGAAGCAGAGGGAUAAUUUUGACUCACCUAAGACUACAGAAUAAGAUCAGCUUCAGCUCUAAAAUUAGCAAACAAAUCCCUUCAUUCCUAAUGCUGUGUUCAUAAUUCUUCUUGCAAAAAAAGAGUAUUUUCCUCAUUCCAGUUCACUUUCUUAGAGAUAAAUCAGAUCAUGGAUGACUCUAUCUGCAUUCCUAACUAAUGCCUCACAGCAAUAAAACCGGUACCUCCUUCCUAUUAAAAAAAGUGGCCAAAAAGUGCUUUAUUUGAAUGAUCCUCCUGGAUGUUUAUUCCAUAAAUUUGUUCAUGCAGAAAAGUGUAACCUUGAUCCCUACCUGUUCAGCAUGGUUUUGGAUAGUAUAACAUCCUGUAACACUCAGGGUGUGUCGCUGACUGCAUGAAGCAUUAAACGCCACUGCCGUUCAGGAAAAGGAAAAAAACAUUUUAGAGAAUGAAGAGAAAAUGUUAUAAAGCAUUUAAAAAUAUAAAUAACAGCAUGUGAGGAAAUCUUUCUGAAGGAACAGGAUGCGCCUGUAGGUGAAGAAUUCAAAUGCAAGUGCUGUGCUAAGUAUAAUCAGUAAUGAAAGCUCAGCCCUUCCUCUUAGGAUUUUAGUAAGCUACAUGUUGACAGGACUUUCCAAGUAGCAGGGAACAAAAAAGCAAGCUUUAAGUCUGGUUGCAGUGUAGUAUGUGUUUAUCAUUAUCACAUAUGUUAUGCUGUCCAUCUAUUACUGUAAGACUGGACUUUAAACGGACAGUAGAAUAAAUUAGUAUCUGCUCAA
Molecule: long non-coding RNA, 2277 nt
Organism: Harpia harpyja (harpy eagle)
Lineage: Eukaryota; Metazoa; Chordata; Aves; Accipitriformes; Accipitridae
Exons: 3
Source: RefSeq, a predicted model, not a curated record